Molecule: ribosomal RNA, 490 nt
Filed under: uncultured bacterium
Lineage: Bacteria
Description: bacterial SSU rRNA
Rfam family: Bacterial small subunit ribosomal RNA
Source: RNAcentral
CUACGUGCCAGCAGCCGCGGUAAUACGUAGGGGGCAAGCGUUAUCCGGAUUUACUGGGUGUAAAGGGAGCGCAGGCGGUUUGGCAAGUUGAGAGUGGAAGCAGGGGGCUCAACCCCCUGACUGCUCCCAAAACUGUUAAACUUGAGUAUGGGAGAGGCAGGCGGAAUUCCUAGUGUAGCGGUGAAAUGCUUAGAUAUUAGGAAGAACACCGGUGGCGAAGGCGGCCUGCUGGACCAAAACUGACGCUGAGGCUCGAAAGCGUGGGUAGCAAACAGGAUUAGAUACCCUGGUAGUCCACGCUGUAAACGAUGAAUACUAGGUGCUGGGAGGCAUAAGCCUUUCGGUGCCGUCGCAAACGCAUUAAGUAUUCCACCUGGGGAGUACGUUCGCAAGAAUGAAACUCAAAGGAAUUGACGGGGACCCGCACAAGCGGUGGAGCAUGUGGUUUAAUUCGACGCAACGCGAAGAACCUUACCCGGUCUUGAGAUCC